GAAGACCGGAAGCCACGGCCCGGCCCCAUCCUUACUUUCGCGUCCCCCCCGGGGCUGGGAGCCGCGAAGCUGGCGGAGGGAGAGGCUGGAGGCUGGCUGAGAGAUAAAGGGAAGCGUCCCCUCAGCCCGCGCUCCCUUCUCAGUCACGGGCUCCUGGAGCGCGCCGCGGAGGACGCCGGGCCAGCUCAGACCCGCGCCGAGGAGGCGCAGCCCGCGGCGGGGACCGAUCAGCGACAUCUGAGGCCCGUCUCCCGCGCCGUCUCCACCGCCGCCGCCAUGUCCUCCUCCUCCUCCUCCUCCCCCAAGGAGGAGACGUACGAGGAGGACCGGGAGUUCGAGAGCCAGGCCAAGCGCCUCAAGACCGAGGAGGGAGAGAUCGUCUACUCGGCCGAGGAGAGCGAGAAUCGCCAGGAAGCGACGCCUCAGGCGGGGAGCGAUAGCGACAGCGGCGGCGGCGACGGAGGCGACGGAGACGGAGGCAGCGGCGGCGGCGGCGACGGCGAGGAAGGCGAAGGUGGAGAAGAAGGCGACGAAGGCGACGGCGAUGAGGGAGGGAGCGGCGGCGACGAAGGUGGCAGCGGCGGUGGCCCUCGGAGCAUGCCCCUGUCCACGGAGGGAGGUGGAAGUCAUCAUAAAGUUUCUGUUUCCCCUGUUGUCCAUGUUCGAGGGCUCUGUGAAUCUGUUGUGGAAGCUGACCUUGUGGAGGCACUGGAGAAAUUUGGGACAAUAUGCUAUGUGAUGAUGAUGCCAUUUAAACGACAGGCUCUCGUGGAGUUUGAAAAUAUAGAUAGUGCCAAAGAAUGUGUGACAUUUGCUGCAGAUGUGCCUGUGUACAUUGCUGGCCAGCAGGCUUUCUUCAACUAUUCUACAAGUAAAAGAAUCACUCGGCCAGGAAAUACCGACGAUCCAUCAGGGGGCAACAAAGUGCUCUUGCUCUCUAUUCAGAAUCCUCUUUACCCAAUUACGGUGGAUGUUCUGUAUACUGUAUGCAACCCUGUUGGAAAAGUACAGCGUAUUGUUAUCUUCAAGAGAAAUGGGAUACAAGCAAUGGUUGAGUUUGAGUCAGUCCUUUGCGCCCAGAAGGCUAAAGCAGCACUCAAUGGAGCUGAUAUAUAUGCCGGAUGUUGCACACUAAAAAUUGAAUAUGCAAGGCCAACUCGUCUAAAUGUUAUUAGGAAUGACAAUGACAGUUGGGACUACACUAAACCUUAUUUGGGAAGACGAGGUUGUUGUUGGCUUAUGCUGAAACUUCUUGAAAGAAGCCCACUUUGAAAAUGUGUUGCUGUUGAAGCUAAUAGUAUGAUUCAGAUAGAGGAAAGGGUCGCCAGAGACAAGCCAUUUUGGGAGACCAUCCUUCUUCGUUUAGACAUGAUGGCUAUGGAUCGCAUGGUCCGCUACUGCCUUUACCAAGUCGUUAUAGAAUGGGCUCUAGAGAUACACCUGAACUUGUUGCUUAUCCAUUACCACAAGCGUCUUCCUCUUACAUGCAUGGAGGCAGUCCGUCUGGCUCCGUUGUAAUGGUUAGUGGAUUACAUCAGCUCAAAAUGAAUUGUUCAAGAGUCUUCAACCUGUUCUGCUUGUAUGGAAAUAUUGAAAAGGUAAAGUUUAUGAAGACCAUUCCUGGCACAGCACUCGUAGAAAUGGGUGACGAGUACGCUGUGGAAAGAGCUGUCACCCACCUUAAUAAUGUCAAACUCUUUGGGAAAAGACUUAAUGUUUGUGUGUCUAAACAGCACUCAGUUGUUCCCAGUCAAAUAUUUGAGCUAGAGGAUGGUACGAGCAGCUACAAAGAUUUUGCAAUGAGCAAAAAUAAUCGCUUUACAAGUGCUGGACAAGCAUCUAAGAAUAUAAUCCAGCCACCGUCAUGUGUGCUGCAUUAUUACAAUGUUCCGCUGUGUGUCACAGAAGAGACCUUCACAAAGUUGUGUAACGACCACGAAGUUCUUCCGUUCAUCAAAUAUAAAGUGUUUGACGCGAAAGCUUCCGCGAAAACUCUGUCUGGGCUAUUGGAGUGGAAGUGCAAAACUGAUGCCGUGGAAGCUCUCACUGCGCUCAAUCACUACCAGAUACGAGUCCCGAAUGGAUCCAACCCCUAUACGUUGAAGCUUUGCUUUUCUACAUCAUCCCAUUUAUAAGAAGAGAAGAGCAUGUUAGAAUUUAUGUUCAUCUUUAUUGCAGUUUUAAAGCUAUACUUCAUCCAUAAUAAUCUAAAAUGGUUGGUCUAAUGUUGCCUUGCUUACUAUAAGAUCCUGUUCUGUAAUAAACAUAUUUUGCCUCAAGUAAGUUUGUUGUUAACUUAAAUAUUGUUUUCACCUUAAGAUAGAGUACCAUAAUGUAGACUGUCUACAGCUUCUUUGUAGAUUAUACAAAUGUAUGGUUUCUAACAUUAUUAUGAAUUUUGUUCCAUGGUAAAAUAUAUUUGCAUUCUUAAUAGUAAUUAUCUGCAGAUGUUUUUCCAUUGUGUAUUAGAUUAAUGCAGGUGAAAGUAUUGCAUUUUAAUACCGAAUUCCUACAAUAGAUGAUUGAGUCUGUUACAGUUACUCAUAUUAAAUAUAAUUUGUAUUUAUUAUUUAAUCAAAUUUGAGAAUGACGCUGCAUAUGUUGACUUCAGGAACUACAGACUUAGCUGACGUCAAUCUCUAAAAGGCUUAAUAGACACGAACACACUUGUAUGGUAUGCACUCAAACUCAGAUUGCUGUUUCUUUUAAAAAGUCAUCAUUUGUAUUGACAUGCUUCUGUUCCUAGUUCCAGUUUGGAGGUUUUAUAAAGUUAUAAUAAUAAGUUAAUGUGUUCAUCUUCAUUAUUUUGCAUGUGACCUAAUCUGAAAAGUACAUGUAGUAUUUGACAUUGAUAUUUUAAUACUGUAGAAGCUAAAAUUAACAAUUCUUCUAUAUAAUAAUCUGGGUUCCAUAAAUGAGUUUCAGAGAACUUGUGAGCCCUUCCAAAAUUGUGUGUAGAGUUUGGAAUAUAUGCAUUUUUAUUUCUUAAUCUUUGAUCCAUCAUAAUAUAUGUAUUUUUCUAUAUGGUGUAAGAUUUAAGAGUUAAUUUUAUUUUUGAUCAAAACAGCUAUUUGUCUCAACACCAUUUAUUAAACAUUCUCCCUCUGGGUUUGUUUCUUUCUCUUUUAAGUGA
This is an RNA transcript of Mus musculus (house mouse), 3133 nucleotides long. It is a transcript of the gene named heterogeneous nuclear ribonucleoprotein L-like, with no coding region annotated. The transcript is spliced from 14 exons. Lineage: Eukaryota; Metazoa; Chordata; Mammalia; Rodentia; Muridae. The record is from RefSeq and is marked validated.